GCCUGGCUGGCUCAUUAGGUAGAGCACAGGCUUCUUGAUCUCAGGGUCAUGAGUUCAAACCCCAUGUUGGGCG
This 73-nucleotide transfer RNA is filed under the name Ailuropoda melanoleuca (giant panda). It matches the Rfam family "tRNA". From Rfam's summary of the family: Transfer RNA (tRNA) molecules are approximately 80 nucleotides in length. Their secondary structure includes four short double-helical elements and three loops (D, anti-codon, and T loops). Further hydrogen bonds mediate the characteristic L-shaped molecular structure. tRNAs have two regions of fundamental functional importance: the anti-codon, which is responsible for specific mRNA codon recognition, and the 3' end, to which the tRNAs corresponding amino acid is attached (by aminoacyl-tRNA synthetases). tRNAs cope with the degeneracy of the genetic code in two manners: having more than one tRNA (with a specific anti-codon) for a particular amino acid; and 'wobble' base-pairing, i.e. permitting non-standard base-pairing at the 3rd anti-codon position. Lineage: Eukaryota; Metazoa; Chordata; Mammalia; Carnivora; Ursidae. The record is from Rfam by way of RNAcentral.